CUUCGACCUGAGAUUGGACGAGAUUACCCGCUGAAUUUAAGCAUAU
RNAcentral lists this ribosomal RNA (46 nucleotides) under Eisenia fetida (common brandling worm). Its description in RNAcentral is "partial 28S ribosomal RNA". The record is from RNAcentral. Lineage: Eukaryota; Metazoa; Annelida; Clitellata; Crassiclitellata; Lumbricidae.